UAUCUACAAGUUUCUUUUCAGAUAUAAACACAAGAUUAAGAGAUGGGGGAGAAGAAAAAAGAGGUGAUCAGAUUAGAGAGAGAAGCUGUGAUCCCAAUUCUAAAGCACAAGCUCAUUACUGCCUUGUCCCUUCACUUUGAAGAUAAAUGUGAGAGAGAGGAGUUCCUAAGAUUCUGCCAGAGAGUGGAAUGUACCAUUAGAGCUUGGUACCACCUUCAUUUUGAGGAUCUUAUGCAACUGUAUUCACUUUUCGAGCCAAUCCGUGGCGCACAUAGGCUUCAUCAACAGAAUUU
This is a non-coding RNA of Camelina sativa (false flax), 293 nucleotides long. The record is from RefSeq and is a predicted model, not a curated record. Lineage: Eukaryota; Viridiplantae; Streptophyta; Magnoliopsida; Brassicales; Brassicaceae.